AGAUAGAGGUUGCGGCAAGCAUCAGUAAUCCAUGGAUCAAUGGCCCGGGAAGCCGGCGUGGAAGAAAGGGCAGGCCGCCGAAGGAACCGGAGUCCCGAACCGGUUUCUGGGACGUCACAGAAUAUGUGGCGGACUGUCGCUGGCCCAGGUCAGCGGAGCGCUGUCUGA
RNAcentral lists this non-coding RNA (168 nucleotides) under uncultured Mobilibacterium sp. RNAcentral's name for it is "Lysine riboswitch". It matches the Rfam family "Lysine riboswitch aptamer". Rfam says of the family: Riboswitches are metabolite binding domains within certain messenger RNAs that serve as precision sensors for their corresponding targets. The record is from RNAcentral. Lineage: Bacteria; Bacillati; Bacillota; Clostridia; Peptostreptococcales; Anaerovoracaceae.